CUGAUAACUUGGACAACCUGCGAAGGCUUGCUGAGCAGUUCCAGAAGCAAAUGCCUGGAGCUGAGGGUGGCGCCAGCAUCGGCGCUGCCCAGGACGACGAUGACGACGUCCCAGAGCUCGUCCCAGGAGAGACCUUCGAAGAAGCCGCUGAGGAGAAGAAGGCACCUGAGGCGAAGAAGGAAGCGGAGCCGGAGGAGAAGAAAGAGUCGUCGUAAAUCAUUGUUGUGAAGGGUUCCUUGUUGGUUCAGGGUUGAGUCGCAUCUAGUACCAUGCAUGCCAGAGACACAUGCUCCUGUGAGAACUCUGGCCUACCUUUCGUUUCCAGCGCUCCUCCGGUUUUGUCUUGGCCGUGGGUUGUGUCCAAACCGACAGCGGAACUGAGUUUUACGACAAUUGCGAUUCAUCAUCAUUGGAAAGUGUUUGAUAUGCACAGUUGCAUUGUUUGAAGGAUAGGUGUCUCGGAAACGGUAUGCCAUCCAAAAUCUAGUCAGUCGCAUGAAUUUGUUAAGUGCAUGCCCAAUUUGCCCCAGCAGCAUUUAUUCUCGGUGUAUCUUGCCAACAUCAUUUCCAAAUUGCAUGUGAAUAGACUUCUAAAUAUUUUAAAAACACAUUUAAGGAUAUUUUUCUGGGAGAACAAUUGUACUCCAGAACAAUGAGGUGUAGAAAACGGAACCUGCUCCUCUACCAGCGGCAUGGCACGGUAACCUGCCUCUUUAGGGCAUUUCUAUCAAAUUCAUGUUUCUGCUGUAAAAUCGAAUAUCCAAUCCGUUAAUGUUUUUUAUUUUAUUUUAUGGUCAUCUUCUUACUCAAUUCACCCGCGCAAACAGCAACAACCGCUUCUUUCAUUCUAUGGCCAUUGGUCCCUCGGGGCGACCUUGAGCUCCAUGGCGGAGCUGCCGCGACCACUUGAGAGCUCAAGGGGUGUGAUGGCCUUUGGCCUCGGACCUCGACCUUGAGCCCGCAUCCAUGGUGGAGCUGCUGCGGCCACCCGAGAGCACGAUGGUGGUUGACUUGAAAUUUCCCUCACGCCAACGAUUUUCUUGUAUGGGAGGGUUGAAAUUUUUGCCUUCACAACUUCAUAUCUUGGGAUGAGGUUUUCUUUUUAGGGGGAGUUGUAUAAUUUUUACAGAACCGGGCGUUUUGAGUGAUAUGGAAUGGGUAUUUUUUUUAAUCUGAAAUUGUAAAAGGUGGUUAUGUUGCAUUAUAUAUUUUUUUAUGGAAUCUGCUAGAGCCUAGAGAUGCUCUUACCCAGCCGUGCGUCUGACGCAGCAAGCCGCUCGCCUGAACUGAAUUUGACGAUUAACUGAAGAAUCCGGACACAGGAACUUAACACGACGCAUAACCACACGGGAACUGAACAUGACAACAAACUGAAGUUUGAAGCCAGCUAUGCAGGUUACAACCAAGUGAACUUUACUUAGCAUCUCUAUUAUUAAAAAAAAAAUCUGCCGUCGUCAUGAUGGUUCAACCUAGACCCCCCUACCAUCGCUAGCUAUCGAUACAUCCUUCCACCACGUCCUCCCACUGUUUUUUCUUUAACCCUUCGAAAACCAGAGGCGGUUCAAUCAACCUCUUCCUCCCACCUUCCAUUAAAAUGAAAGAGGAGACAAUUACACCGAAGCCGCGACCCACGCACGCACGUUCCCAUCGCCAAUCGCCGCUCAAUCGGGAGGAAAUCCAGUUGCAGGCAUUUUCCCUUGUGUGAUAUCCACAUCCGCUCUAUUCUCUCUUGGAAACCCUAUUCCAGCAAACGGCUGAUCCAUAAGGCCCGAAGGAGGCGAUGCAGCAGGAGGAUUCCGAUCUGAUCCAAUGGUUCCUUACCCAUCGUGAUGCAGCAGGAGGGCUCCGAUGUGAUUCUAUGGUGCCUUACCCGCCGUGAUGUAGAAGGAGGGCUUCGAUCUGAACCGAUGGUGCCUUGCCCGCGUCGUUGUCAGCAAGCGGUGUGCAGUUCACGUUCCAGAUUGUCAAGUGGCUCAUCGCCAAGAGACGAAGCGAUCUUCGGUCCCAGCCGCGGUGAGGGUGGUGCUGGCUACGGCCUCCCGCACCUCGACGUGAUCAUAGGCCUGGACGGCAUCUUGACUUCAAUAACUCGCCCUUGCGCUCAUGAACUUCAGCUCCUCGGGGUGCACAUACAAUCUUACACUCGCCCUCGCUCCCCUCUACUAUUCUGAUUGCUUGGGCAACUAUUUUCCCCAUAACCUGCACAUGAGAUCACGUGCAGACGACCUUCGAGCCAAGAUGCAGCUCUAUUCAGAGAUGAUCAUGUUGGGGAACGCCGCAUGGGAAACAAAAUUUUUCCUACGCGCACGAAGACCUAUCAUGGUGAUGUCCAUCUACGAGAGGGGAUGAGUGAUCUACGUACCCUUGUAGACCGUACAGCAGAAGCGUUAGUGAACGCGGUUGAUGUAGUGGAACGUCCUCACGUCCCUCGAUCUGCCCCGCGAACAAUCCCGCGAUCAGUCCCACGAUCUAGUACCGAACGGACGGCACCUCCGCGUUCAGCACACGUUCAGCUCGACGAUGAUCUCGGCCUUCUUGAUCCAGCAAGAGAGACAGAGAGGUAGAAGAGUUCUCCGGCAGAGUGACGGCGCUCCGGAGGUUGGUGAUGAUCUCGUCUCAGCAGGGCUCCGCCCGAGCUCCGCAGAAACGCGAUCUAGAGGAAAAACCGUGGAGGUAUGCGGUCGGGCUGCCGUGGAAAAGUCGUCUCAAAUCAGCCCUAAAACCUCCGUAUAUAUAGGUGGGAGGGAGGGGACCUUGCCUUGGGGCUCAAGGAGCCCCAAGGGGGUCGGCCGAGCAGAGGGGGAAGGUCUCCCCCCCCCAAACCGAGUUGGACUUGGUUUGGUGGGUGGGAGUCCUUCCUUCCCUUCCCAACUUUUUUUUUUCUUUCUCUUUGAUUUUUCUUUCUUAGGCGCAUAGGGCCCCUUUGGGCUGUCCCACCAGCNNNNNNNNNNNNNNNNNNNNNNNNNNNNNNNNNNNNNNNNNNNNNNNNNNNNNNNNNNNNNNNNNNNNNNNNNNNNNNNNNNNNNNNNNNNNNNNNNNNNUAGGGCAUAAUUCCAACACUUAUUUCGGUGGUACUUGUGAUCCUCAUGUGUGUAGGGCUGUGGUGGAGUUCUUAGUGUUCAUACACAGCCCAUGCCCCUCGUAAAAAUUCGUGUAGCCAUAUCCAUGGGGUCUAUUUUAUCUGUCAGAUCUGAAAAUCAAACCCCAGCGGUACUACCGCCAGGGUAGCGGUACUACCGCUAGGACCCCCAGCGGUACUACCGCCAGGGGUAGCGGUACUACCGCGAGGACCCCAGCGGUACUACCGCCAGGGAUAGCGGUACUACCGCCAGGAGGAUUCACUAUGCAUUCUUUUCAUGUGCUUGGAAAUGAUGUUUACUUUUCUGCCUUUUCUAGUUCAUUGCCUUGACUCUUUUUGUCGCUUCUUUUCGUUGUGUGUUUUGUGUCACAGGUGGUGCUCACCGUUCGAAUACCUCACGGGACACGUCGCAACCCAAAGGCUCCAAAGGGUUCUGCUACUUCAGGUCUGCAACCCAAAAGGCAGGCCUUCAAGAAGACCGCGCACAAGGACAAGGGGAUCAAUGUCCGCACAAUGCCCCCCAAGGACUUUCUGCGGUUCCGCACUCAAAACCAUUAUCUCCAAGAGAAGGCUGUGAUCAACAAUGUUGACCAUGUUUGGACAAGGGAUCACUAUAGGAUCUACCGUGAUAUUGUCAUGCAUUUCAAGAAGAACUUUGUCCCCGUUCAGUGGAUUGACCUAGCUCAUCUUCAGCGGAACCUGGACUAUUUUGGUGAUGCCCUUUCUCUGAUUGACAAACUGGGCAUCAAGGACAUCAUCACUUUCAAGACAGAUUUUGACCCCAAUGUUGUUGCCCAGUUCUAUGUCACGGUCCACUUCUCUCCGGAUGACGAGCGCUCUAUGGUGUGGAUGACUGGGACUCAGAAGAUGACCGGUACCUGGCGUGAAUUCAUGGCAUUCCUCAAGGUUGAGUUCCAGGGAGCUGACACUCCACUUGGGUCGCGUCCUCAUGCUGCAGCUCCCACUGAUAGGCCCCCCGCCAAGGACAGAUUGCAGCAACUCUAUGUGAAGAAGGGUGUGCUCCCCAAGCAUCUGGACAUCAUGCAUCGGAUCUUCCGCAACACCCUCUUUCCUUGCAUUGGUAACUUCGACGAGGUUCAUGGCUCUCUGGCUGAGAUGUUGCUGCUCUGUGAGGAGGCUAUGACAAAGGAGUCUGCCCCUCUUGAUAUUUCUGAUGUGAUGUUCACGGAGCUCUGGAACUGCAUCAUGAUGCGCAAGGUUCCCAUCUACGGGCCCUAUCUGUUUGCUUAUAUCCGUCAGAAGUGGCAGGACACCUAUCCGCAGGAGGAGCUAUACGUUCAGGCUGACUACAUUGUGCACGACCCUGUCAAGCUUCGCGUCAAGGAUAAAUGGGCCAACCCAUCAACUUCCUCUCAGCAUAUGGAUACUGACACAGAGACUGCAGCUGACAGAGGAACCGCCUCUCAGUCCCGCUCUUCUGCCAUGCCAUCUUGGGCCAUCAAACUGUAGGAUAAGAUGAAGACUCUAUUCUGUAUGCAGGCUAAGGGCCAGUACCAGGCGCACGUGGCUCAGAAGGAGAGCCGCCAGAGGCACAAGCGUGUCCUAAGGACUCUUGAUGUUGACAUCUCCAGCGGAUCAAAGGACGACAUCACUCCAGAGGCUACUUGGAUGCGGGCUCAAGGUUACCAGUGGUCUGGCGCUGAGGAGGAAGAGGAGGAGCAGGACGAUCAGGAGGGUACCGACGAGUCUGGCAAUGCUGAGGAUGAGGAGUAACCACCUGUGGCGUUAGGUGUGCCCCUUUUUGGUGUCUUGUGCCAAAGGGGGGGAGAGUCUAGGAGCUGGAUUUGCUUGCUUUCAGAGUCGAACUUUGCUUUGCUUUGCUUUCUUUCGUGUUUUGCUUCGAACUUGGUUUCCUUCUAGUCUGCUAUCGUGUGUGAGACAUGAACUUAUGUGAGAUUUAUUUCCAUCAUAUGCUAUGAGUCAUAUGCCCCGUAUUGUCAUAUAUCUCUAUCUUUUUGUUCUCAUAUUAUUCUCUGUGCAAAUCCGGUAUUGUCAUCAAUCCACCAAAAAGGGGAGAUUGUUGGGGCAUAGUUUAUGCCUAAGUAAUUUUGGUGAUUGAUGACAGUACCGUAAAGGACUAACCGUGUGUGUUAAGGUUUCAGAUAACACACGUCAAUGGCACAAGAUGACUCGCCUCCUCAUUCAUGGAACAGAAGCACGGCGUUCUCAACGAUUCUCUUUAUUUGAGUCAUAGGAAAGCCGUACUAUUAAGAGGGGAACCGUAGUGGAAAGGUUUGGGUGGAAUCAAUCUUUGCACGUGCACACUUCACAUAUUUUCCCUUACCUUCAUCUUUGGAGCGGCCCCCGCAUCUGUGUUUCUUUCCUCUUUGCAAAAUGGUCCCUCAGCGGUAGUACCGCUGGGCCAAGCGGUAGUACCGCUGGCCCUAGCGGUAGUACCGCUGGAGUGCUAGCGGUAGUACCGCUGCAGCCAGCGGUAGUACCGCUAGCUGGCGGUAGUACCGCCCCUGGUCAGCGGUAGUACUGCUCCAGGAGCUUAGUACCGCCUUGUUGGAAAUAUGCCCUAGAGGCAAUAAUAAAAUGGUUAUUAUCAUAUUUCCUUGUUCAUGAUAAUCGUCUAUUGUUCAUGCUAUAAUUGUAUUAACAGGAAAUAGUAAUACAUGUGUGAAUUAAUAGAUCACAAUGUGUCCCUAGCAAGCCUCUAGUUGGCUAGCUCGUUAGUCAAUAGAUGAUCAUGGUUUCCUGAUCAUGGGCAUUAGAUGUCAUUGAUAACGGGAUCACAUCAUUGGGAGAAUGAUGUGAUGGACAAGACCCAAUCCUAAGCAUAGCACUAGAUCGUAUUGUUCGUAUGCUAAAGCUUUUCUAAUGUCAAGUAUCUUUUCCUUCGACCGUGAGAUUGUGCAACUCCCGGAUACUGUAGGAGUGCUUUGGGUGUAUCAAACGUCACAACGUAACUGGGUGACUAUAAAGGUGCACUACGGGUACCUCCGAAAGUGUCUGUUGGGUUGGUACGAAUCGAGAUCGGGAUUUGUCACUCCGUGUGACGGAGAGGUAUCUCUGGGCCCACUUGGUAGAACAUCAUCAUGAGCUCAAUGUGACUAAGGAGUUAGUCACACGAUGACGUGCUACGGAAUGAGUAAAGAGACUUACCGGUAACGAGAUUGAACAAGGUAUAGGUAUACUGACGAUCGAAUCUCGGGCAAGUUCUAUACCGACAAACAAAGGGAAUCGUAUACGGGAUUGAUUGAAUCCUUGACAUCGUUGUUCAUCUGAUAAGAUCAUCGUGGAGCAAGUGGGAGCCACCAUGGGUAUCCAGACCCCGCUGAUGGUUAUUGGCCAGAGAGGUGUCUCGGUCAUGUCUGUCUGUCUCCCGAACCCGUAGGGUCUACACACUUAAGGUUCGAUGACGCUAGGGUUAUAGGGAAUUGUUAUACAAAGUUACCAAAAGUUGUUCGGAGUCCCAGAUGAGAUCCCGGACGUCACGAGGAGCUCCGGAAUGGUCCGGAGGUAAAGAUUGAUAUAUAGGACGGAUGGUUUCGGACACCGGAAGUGUUUCGGGCGUCACCGGUAACAUAUCGGGACCACCAGGACCACCGGAGGUGGCCCCGGGGGUCCACCGAAGGGGGCAACGACCCCGAGAGGCU
Molecule: long non-coding RNA, 6702 nt
Filed under: Hordeum vulgare
Lineage: Eukaryota; Viridiplantae; Streptophyta; Magnoliopsida; Poales; Poaceae
Description: long non-coding RNA (HVUL_LNC011262)
Source: RNAcentral